GCGCGAAAACUUUACAAUGCUGGCAACAGCGAUAAGGGAACCUCGAGUGCCAGGUUACAAAUCUGGCUGUCGAGAUGCCUAAAAAGCAUUUCAUAGCAAGGGCCGGGCAAGACCGGUACCAGCCGCCGCGGUAACACCGGCGGCUCGAGUGGUAACUGUUAUUAUUGGGUCUAAAGGGUCUGUAGCCGGCCGGAUAAGUCUCUUGAGAAAUCUGGCAGCUUAACUGUCAGGCUUUCAAGAGAUACUGUCUGGCUCGAGGCCGGGAGAGGUGAGAGGUACUUCAGGGGUAGGGGUGAAAUCUUGUAAUCCUUGAAGGACCACCAGUGGCGAAAGCGUCUCACCAGAACGGACCUGACGGCAAGGGACGAAAGCUAGGGGCACGAACC
This 386-nucleotide ribosomal RNA is filed under the name uncultured prokaryote. Its description in RNAcentral is "bacterial SSU rRNA". It matches the Rfam family "Archaeal small subunit ribosomal RNA", at positions 339 to 725 of the family's 1478-position model. The record is from RNAcentral.